UCUCAGACUCUCUCUUACUCACUCGGCCGUCUCUUUCUCUCUCUCUCUCACUCACGAAACUCACGAAACUCACGAAACUCAACCCUACUAUUUCUCUCCCGAUCUGAUCUGAGACUAACCCUCACCUCAUCGGCCGCCGUCCCUUGGCUCUCUGUCUCUCUCUCGACUCGUCCCUUGGCUCUCUCUCACUCUUCACAUCUUUAAGUCUCUUAGAGUCGCGCGAGACUCAUUCUCUUUCUCCAAACCGAACCAAACAUCAUCCAAUUUUAUUGGUUUUUGGAGCGAAUCCUUGUAAAUUCUGGAGGGCUCUGGUUCAUUCUAAGUAGUUGUGCUUAGUCUCUGUGGGUUUGGAUUAAUAGGCAAAAUUGAAGUUGUUUAGCGUCACUGCUGCUGCUGCUGCCUGCUGCCUGCUGCUGCUGCUGCUGCUGCCGCCUGCUGCCGCCUGCUGCCUCAUGCUGCUGCUGCUGGUAUUCUGAGCUUUGAAAGUUUGGAAAAUUUUGCUUAAAUGGAGAAAUGGGGAGUAAAACAUCCAUGACAAAUUUGCAUAAGACUCUCCCUUCUUAGUGUGAUUAAGAUAUGUUGGAAGGUUGCUUUGUGAAGGCUUUUGGAAGAAUGGAUGCAGCAGAUUUUUUGCAAGGAUAUUAUCUCUAUGUGUAUUUUUGUGAUGGGUUGUAAUCUUUAAUGUCAUAAGUUUAAUUUGGUUUGUGUAUUAUUUUUUGUAAUGGUUUGUAAGAGAUUAUAUUUCCUUUCCUUGGUUGGUUGGUUGAAUUGAAUGUGUGUAUGUGAGAUUUAUUUAGUUUAGAAACUUAGAUUGGAAUGAUGGAUUUUUAUAGCUUGAAUUUACAUAAUUUCAGGUUUUGAAAGAGAAGUAAAAAGUGUUUUGGGCUUGUUCAUAAGAAUUUAAUAGGUUUUGGCAAUUUGACAACAAAAAAAAGGGUUUUGGCUGAAAGGAAAUCGGAUUUGGGCUUUGUUUUACUAAAAAAAAUAUGAUUUGGGCUUUUUUUGGCCGAAAAUAAAUAAGAUUUGGGCUUUUGGAAAAUUGAAAAAAUGGGCCCAAGCCCAAACCGAGAAGAAGCCAGAACCGACCCGAGACCCGAGCCCAUUUUCGGUUCGGCUCAUUUUCGGGUUUCAUCCUAGACCCGACCCGACCCGAGAACCGAGCUCUCCUUCGGUUUGGCUCGCGGGUCGGCCAAAAUUUGACCCGACCCGAACCGUGCCCAGGCCUAUUAAAAACUACGUCAUUUUUACUGACCUUGCUGUUUGGCCACCAAACGUUUUUGUGGCUGAUUCUGGAGACUUAAAUUAAAAAUAAAAAAAAUCUCCUUUCCGAACCCUCCUCUCUCUGCCCAAUUCACUUCUCUAUACCUCCUCUCAGCAUCGCGCACACCACCGUUACUCCGGCGUCGGCAGAACAAUUGUCCACCGACGACGACUAGUCAUAUAGAAACUCUCUUCCCCUAUGAUUUCUCUUGGCAUGAGUUACUUAUUUCCCCCCUCUCUCUGCCCCUAAUUUUCUAGAAUCUCCUCAGCCACUUGCUUCUUCUGCUGCCUCUCUUCAGGUUUCAGUUUGAAAUACUUGCUUAAGAGGCUAUAUUCUGUCAAGAGGUAUGGAUAGCUAAAAAUCUUGCUUUUUGGUUAAGAGAGGCAGAUGAUGAAUGAGUUUGAGAAGCUGAAGCAACAAUUGGUAGAGUAUGAGUUCAUGUCACGGUACAUAUCCCACAAGCUUGGUCUCUAGUCUUCAUGUGGAGAAAAUGAGUGCAUAACUUGGGGUUACAAAGGGAAAGAAAAUUCGGAGCCUGGUCUCUAGUUUUUAUUUUUAUUUUUUGGUGAACCUGGACUCUAGUCUUUGAGUGUUCUUCAUUCAUUUAUGCUUCUAGUUUUUGGAUAUAGGGUACGAAAUUUAUGUGUACUUAAAUGACUAGUAUGCUUGUGUGCCUCAGAAUGUUUACAACUUUAUUUAUAUCAUUUUCAAUUGAUUUUGCUUUCCUAAA
Prunus persica (peach) is the source of this 1991-nucleotide long non-coding RNA. RefSeq lists it as uncharacterized. Lineage: Eukaryota; Viridiplantae; Streptophyta; Magnoliopsida; Rosales; Rosaceae. The transcript has 7 exons. The record is from RefSeq and is a predicted model, not a curated record.